UUUGCGACCAAAUCAUGUGCAU
This 22-nucleotide microRNA is filed under the name Strongyloides ratti. RNAcentral's name for it is "str-miR-7880t-3p". The record is from miRBase by way of RNAcentral. Lineage: Eukaryota; Metazoa; Nematoda; Chromadorea; Rhabditida; Strongyloididae.